AAAAGUCGUAAACUGUUUGUUUGUUCAGCGAUUUCAUUCUGAUUAUCGAGUUUAUAGCAUUGAUCAUUUAGAAGCUAUAUCCAAACAAACUUCUAACAAACGAGUCUUUACAUUAUUUUAUUGCGCUCCACAAUUUUAAGGGUUUGCCAGGUCUUUAAAAAAAAACGUGGAACAGCAGAAAAAAAAAAUGUGUAGAAAUAGCAUCUCAGCAAAGUACUUGUAUAGAACCAAAUCACUGACAUCAAAUGCAGUGGCGUCAUAAUAGACCAACAUUUAGAC
RNAcentral lists this long non-coding RNA (279 nucleotides) under Mytilus galloprovincialis (Mediterranean mussel). Lineage: Eukaryota; Metazoa; Mollusca; Bivalvia; Mytilida; Mytilidae. The record is from RNAcentral.